This 2431-nucleotide ribosomal RNA is filed under the name Escherichia coli. RNAcentral's name for it is "partial 23S ribosomal RNA". It matches the Rfam family "Bacterial large subunit ribosomal RNA", at positions 514 to 2925 of the family's 2925-position model. The record is from RNAcentral. Lineage: Bacteria; Pseudomonadati; Pseudomonadota; Gammaproteobacteria; Enterobacterales; Enterobacteriaceae.
GCGAAAAGAACCCCGGCGAGGGGAGUGAAAAAGAACCUGAAACCGUGUACGUACAAGCAGUGGGAGCCUCUUAAUGGGGUGACUGCGUACCUUUUGUAUAAUGGGUCAGCGACUUAUAUUCUGUAGCAAGGUUAACCGAAUAGGGGAGCCGAAGGGAAACCGAGUCUUAACUGGGCGUUAAGUUGCAGGGUAUAGACCCGAAACCCGGUGAUCUAGCCAUGGGCAGGUUGAAGGUUGGGUAACACUAACUGGAGGACCGAACCGACUAAUGUUGAAAAAUUAGCGGAUGACUUGUGGCUGGGGGUGAAAGGCCAAUCAAACCGGGAGAUAGCUGGUUCUCCCCGAAAGCUAUUUAGGUAGCGCCUCGUGAAUUCAUCUCCGGGGGUAGAGCACUGUUUCGGCAAGGGGGUCAUCCCGACUUACCAACCCGAUGCAAACUGCGAAUACCGGAGAAUGUUAUCACGGGAGACACACGGCGGGUGCUAACGUCCGUCGUGAAGAGGGAAACAACCCAGACCGCCAGCUAAGGUCCCAAAGUCAUGGUUAAGUGGGAAACGAUGUGGGAAGGCCCAGACAGCCAGGAUGUUGGCUUAGAAGCAGCCAUCAUUUAAAGAAAGCGUAAUAGCUCACUGGUCGAGUCGGCCUGCGCGGAAGAUGUAACGGGGCUAAACCAUGCACCGAAGCUGCGGCAGCGACACUAUGUGUUGUUGGGUAGGGGAGCGUUCUGUAAGCCUGUGAAGGUGGCCUGUGAGGGUUGCUGGAGGUAUCAGAAGUGCGAAUGCUGACAUAAGUAACGAUAAAGCGGGUGAAAAGCCCGCUCGCCGGAAGACCAAGGGUUCCUGUCCAACGUUAAUCGGGGCAGGGUGAGUCGACCCCUAAGGCGAGGCCGAAAGGCGUAGUCGAUGGGAAACAGGUUAAUAUUCCUGUACUUGGUGUUACUGCGAAGGGGGGACGGAGAAGGCUAUGUUGGCCGGGCGACGGUUGUCCCGGUUUAAGCGUGUAGGCUGGUUUUCCAGGCAAAUCCGGAAAACCAAGGCUGAGGCGUGAUGACGAGGCACUACGGUGCUGAAGCGACAAAUGCCCUGCUUCCAGGAAAAGCCUCUAAGCAUCAGGUAACAUCAAAUCGUACCCCAAACCGACACAGGUGGUCAGGUAGAGAAUACCAAGGCGCUUGAGAGAACUCGGGUGAAGGAACUAGGCAAAAUGGUGCCGUAACUUCGGGAGAAGGCACGCUGAUAUGUAGGUGAAGCGACUUGCUCGUGGAGCUGAAAUCAGUCGAAGAUACCAGCUGGCUGCAACUGUUUAUUAAAAACACAGCACUGUGCAAACACGAAAGUGGACGUAUACGGUGUGACGCCUGCCCGGUGCCGGAAGGUUAAUUGAUGGGGUUAGCGGCAACGCGAAGCUCUUGAUCGAAGCCCCGGUAAACGGCGGCCGUAACUAUAACGGUCCUAAGGUAGCGAAAUUCCUUGUCGGGUAAGUUCCGACCUGCACGAAUGGCGUAAUGAUGGCCAGGCUGUCUCCACCCGAGACUCAGUGAAAUUGAACUCGCUGUGAAGAUGCAGUGUACCCGCGGCAAGACGGAAAGACCCCGUGAACCUUUACUAUAGCUUGACACUGAACAUUGAGCCUUGAUGUGUAGGAUAGGUGGGAGGCUUUGAAGUGUGGACGCCAGUCUGCAUGGAGCCGACCUUGAAAUACCACCCUUUAAUGUUUGAUGUUCUAACGUGGGCCCGUAAUCCGGGUUGCGGACAGUGUCUGGUGGGUAGUUUGACUGGGGCGGUCUCCUCCUAAAGAGUAACGGAGGAGCACGAAGGUUGGCUAAUCCUGGUCGGACAUCAGGAGGUUAGUGCAAUGGCAUAAGCCAGCUUGACUGCGAGCGUGACGGCGCGAGCAGGUGCGAAAGCAGGUCAUAGUGAUCCGGUGGUUCUGAAUGGAAGGGCCAUCGCUCAACGGAUAAAAGGUACUCCGGGGAUAACAGGCUGAUACCGCCCAAGAGUUCAUAUCGACGGCGGUGUUUGGCACCUCGAUGUCGGCUCAUCACAUCCUGGGGCUGAAGUAGGUCCCAAGGGUAUGGCUGUUCGCCAUUUAAAGUGGUACGCGAGCUGGGUUUAGAACGUCGUGAGACAGUUCGGUCCCUAUCUGCCGUGGGCGCUGGAGAACUGAGGGGGGCUGCUCCUAGUACGAGAGGACCGGAGUGGACGCAUCACUGGUGUUCGGGUUGUCAUGCCAAUGGCACUGCCCGGUAGCUAAAUGCGGAAGAGAUAAGUGCUGAAAGCAUCUAAGCACGAAACUUGCCCCGAGAUGAGUUCUCCCUGACUCCUUGAGAGUCCUGAAGGAACGUUGAAGACGACGACGUUGAUAGGCCGGGUGUGUAAGCGCAGCGAUGCGUUGAGCUAACCGGUACUAAUGAACCGUGAGGCUUAACCUU